GUCGCUGCAGCGCUGUGAAGUUGAGCCACAUUGUUGAGGCACAAAUCCACAAAACUUUGACAAUCGUUUAAAAUGACUACUUCAUCCAUCUCCUUUACACAUGACCUGCGUUCACAUUUCACGGCACCGAACAUUUACUCAAGGGUUAGCAAAUUCAGCGCAUAAUAUUUCAACUAAUUCUAGGUAUUCACGCUAGCUCAAACCUUACCGAAUUGUAAAUAAAGAGCGAGAAAUAGGAUUAAACUAUAUAAUAUACUCACCUGAAUUGAUCAUUCCACAGAUGUUUACCGUUCUUGUCAACAGCGUCACACAAUUUUUGUACUUGAGUUAUGGCCUUCUCCAAGCCAGUGCCGAAUGACAAAGCCAAUGCAACAGUAGGCCCCACAGUAAGACUCCAAGGUCUUUCGACCAAAGCAAGAUGAAAUGCAAG
Molecule: long non-coding RNA, 430 nt
Filed under: Physcomitrium patens
Lineage: Eukaryota; Viridiplantae; Streptophyta; Bryopsida; Funariales; Funariaceae
Description: long non-coding RNA (PPAT_LNC008608)
Source: RNAcentral